GAACGUAGCGAAAUGCGAUACUUGGUGUGAAUUGCAGAAUCCCGUGAACCAUCGAGUCUUUGAACGCAAGUUGCGCCCGAUGUCUUCAGGCUGAGGGCACGUCUGUUUGGGCGUCACGCAUGUCGUCAACCCCUCCCACGUCGUCUUCUUCCCCGCUCGAAG
RNAcentral lists this ribosomal RNA (162 nucleotides) under Primulina fengkaiensis. Its description in RNAcentral is "5.8S ribosomal RNA". The stretch from base 1 to 116 matches the Rfam family "5.8S ribosomal RNA", at positions 41 to 154 of the family's 154-position model. Rfam says of the family: 5.8S ribosomal RNA (5.8S rRNA) is a component of the large subunit of the eukaryotic ribosome. It is transcribed by RNA polymerase I as part of the 45S precursor that also contains 18S and 28S rRNA. The record is from RNAcentral. Lineage: Eukaryota; Viridiplantae; Streptophyta; Magnoliopsida; Lamiales; Gesneriaceae.